RNAcentral lists this long non-coding RNA (239 nucleotides) under Elaeis guineensis (African oil palm). RNAcentral describes it as "long non-coding RNA (EGUI_LNC067609)". Lineage: Eukaryota; Viridiplantae; Streptophyta; Magnoliopsida; Arecales; Arecaceae. The record is from RNAcentral.
UGGGCCAUCCAAUGAUCAUCCAACUAAUGGAUCCAUUAUCAUCCAACUUAAUGGGAGGCUAUGAUCAAGUCAUCCCCAUAAAUAGCUUAUUUUAUGAAUCUAAUAAUUUAAAAAAAUUAGUUGACAUAUAAAAGAGAAGAGAUUAAACUUAACCAGUUAAUCAUAAUUCUCCUACUGACUUCAUCAAGUCAGAUCAAAGAAGACUAGAUUCAAGCUGGUCAUGGCACCUAAAUCAUUCA